Molecule: transfer RNA, 88 nt
Filed under: Caldivirga maquilingensis IC-167
Lineage: Archaea; Thermoproteati; Thermoproteota; Thermoprotei; Thermoproteales; Thermoproteaceae
Also listed under: 3 other names
Description: tRNA-Leu (CAA) (tRNA-Leu-CAA-1-1)
Rfam family: tRNA
About the family: Transfer RNA (tRNA) molecules are approximately 80 nucleotides in length. Their secondary structure includes four short double-helical elements and three loops (D, anti-codon, and T loops).
Source: RNAcentral
GCGGGGGUGCCCGAGCCUGGUCAAAGGGGGCGGACUCAAGAUCCGUUGGCGUAGGCCUGCGUGGGUUCAAAUCCCACCCCCCGCACCA